Molecule: long non-coding RNA, 738 nt
Organism: Xenia sp. Carnegie-2017
Lineage: Eukaryota; Metazoa; Cnidaria; Anthozoa; Malacalcyonacea; Xeniidae
Exons: 2
Source: RefSeq, a predicted model, not a curated record
UAAAUAUACAUGUAGAGUUACUGAGAGUUAGGUGUAGUAUAAAUAUACAUGUAGAGUUACUGAGAGUUAGGUGAAGUAUAAAUAUACAUGUAGAGUUACUGAGAGUUAGGUGAAGUAUAAAUAUACAUGUAGAGUUACUGAGAGUUAGGUGUAGUAUAAAUAUACAUGUAGAGUUACUGAGAGUUAGGUGUAGUAUAAAUAUACAUGUAGAGUUACUGAGAGUUAGGUGUAGUAUAAAUAUACAUGUAGAGUUACUGAGAGUUAGGUGAAGUAUAAAUAUACAUGUAGAGUUACUGAGAGUUAGGUGAAGUAUAAAUAUACAUGUAGAGUUACUGAGAGUUAGGUGUAGUAUAAAUAUACAUGUAGAGUUACUGAGAGUUAGGUGUAGUAUAAAUAUACAUGUAGAGUUACUGAGAGUUAGGUGAAGUAUAAAUAUACAUGUAGAGUUACUGAGAGUUAGGUGAAGUAUAAAUAUACAUGUAGAGUUACUGAGAGUUAGGUGUAGUAUAAAUAUACAUGUAGAGUUACUGAGAGUUAGGUGAAGUAUAAAUAUACAUGUAGAGUUACUGAGAGUUAGGUGUAGUAUAAAUAUACAUGUAGAGUUACUGAGAGUUAGGUGUAGUAUAAAUAUACGUGUAGAGUUACUGAGAGUUAGGUGUAGUAUAAAUAUACAUGUAGAGUUACUGAGAGUUAGGUGAAGUAUAAAUAUACAUGUAGAGUUACUGAGAGUUAGGUGAA